CAAUAGCGUAUAUUAAAGUUGUUGCGGUUAAAAAGCUCGUAGUUGGAUUUCUGCCGAGGACGACCGGUCCGCCCUCUGGGUGUGUAUCUGGCUCGGCCUGGGCAUCUUCUUGGAGAACGUAUCUGCACUUGACUGUGUGGUGCGGUAUCCAGGACUUUUACUUUGAGGAAAUUAGAGUGUUUCAAGCAGGCGCACGCCUUGAAUACAUUAGCAUGGAAUAAUACUAUAGGAUCUUGGUCCUAUUUUGUUGGUUUCUAGGAUUGAGAUAAUGAUUAAUAGGGACAAUUGGGGGCAUUUGUACUGACAAGUCAGAGGUGGAAUUCUUGGAUUUUGUCAUGACAAACUACUGCGAAAGCAUUUGCCAAGGAUGUUUUUCAUUGAUCAAGAACGAAAGUACGGGGAUCGAAGAUGAUCAGAUACC
RNAcentral lists this ribosomal RNA (421 nucleotides) under uncultured eukaryote. Its description in RNAcentral is "SSU rRNA". It matches the Rfam family "Eukaryotic small subunit ribosomal RNA", at positions 592 to 1016 of the family's 1831-position model. The record is from RNAcentral.